Non-coding RNA from Schistosoma rodhaini, 48 nucleotides. The record is from Rfam. NCBI's taxonomy places the organism in Eukaryota, Metazoa, Platyhelminthes, Trematoda, Strigeidida, Schistosomatidae.
AUCCAGCUGACGAGUGCGAAGUGGGACGAAACGUGCGUCAAACUGGAU